Callithrix jacchus (white-tufted-ear marmoset) is the source of this 4050-nucleotide long non-coding RNA. RefSeq lists it as uncharacterized. NCBI's taxonomy places the organism in Eukaryota, Metazoa, Chordata, Mammalia, Primates, Cebidae. The record is from RefSeq and is a predicted model, not a curated record.
UUGAUGUUUCUUGUUCUUGGAGUUUAUUGAGCUUCUUGGAUCUAUGGAUUUAUAGUUUUCAUCAAAUCUAGAACAUUUAGGAUGUUAUUUCUUCAAAUAUUUUUCUGUGUAUUCUUUUCUUCAGGAACUUCAAUUGCAUGUAUAUUAGGCUGUUUGAAGUUGUUCCAUGGUUUACUGGGUUCCUUUUAUUUUUUUUAAAUGAUUUUUCCUUUGUGUGUUUUAUUUUGGAUAGUUUCUAUUGCUGUGUCUUUAAGUUCACUAAUAUUUUCUCCUGCAGUGACUAAUCUGCUGUUAAUCUCAUCAAGUAUAUUUUUUAUUUCAAACAUUAUAGUUUUCAUCUCUAAAAAUUCAAUUUGGGUCUAUAAAAAUAUACUUUCCAUGUGUCUAGUUAACUUUUAAAAAAUAUAGAAUGUUUUCAAAAUAUUAUAAUAAUAUAAUACAAUAUGCUAAAAUAUAGUAACAAUGUCCUUCUUUGCUUGUUCUGAUAUUCAUGUUAGUUCUAGAUUGGCUAUGACUGAUUUUUUGCCUCACUAUGGGUUAUGUUUUCCUGCUCUUUUUUAUGCCUAUUAGUCUCUUAUUGGAUAACAUGCAUUAUGAAUUUUACCUUGUUGGUUGCUAGCUAUUUCAGUAUUCCUAAAAAUGUUCUUGAGCUUUGUUUAAAAAAGCAGUGAAAUUAUUUGAAAACAGUCUAUUUUUUGUGUCUUGCUUUGAAGAUGAGUUGUACAGAACCAUAGCUGUUUAUAGUGUUAGGCUAGUUAUCCCUCACUAUGAAGGCAAACCUCUGAGUACUCUACUGAAUGCCCUGUGGAGCUUGAGGCUUUACAAUCUGGCUGGGAGGAACAGGCACUAUUACUGGCUUUCAGAACCUGAAGCUGUUACCUCAACUGCCCUUGAAUGCUUAUUCCCCUGGCCUUGGAUAAUGCAUGUACUGCUCAGUGCUUUGCCAAAUACUCUGGGGGGGGACUCAUCAGAUAGCUCCAGAGUUCUCUGUGUAGCUGUAUACUCUUUGGAAUCUGCCCUGCACACUGCAGACACCUUAGUAUCUACAAAGUUCUGUCUCUCAACUCAAAUUUGGCAGACCUCUGCCUUGCUUCCCUCUCCCUCCCUGCCCUACAGCCUGGACUCUCCAGACAGCGAGACAGGGCAGCUGUAGGCUCACUUGUUUGUUUUUUGUCUCACAGGGAUUUUGUUUUUUUGCCUGAUGUCCAUUGGCCUGAAAACUGUUGUUUCAUAAUUUUUUUUCCGGCUUUUGGUCAUGUCAGGUGAGAGGGUAAAUCCACACCCUGUCAUUCAAGCGUGCUAGAAGUGUUGCCUUUUAAAUAUAUUAUUUUUUUCUUUUAAAGCCCACAUGAAAGGAGCCUUCCUCUGUAACAACAACCAACAGCUUGACAAUGUGUGUUCCCAUUAUCCUGUGAAUGCUCUACUUUUCAAAGUAAGCCUGCGAGAAUCUUGUUCCAUCGCCCAGGUUGGAGUGCAGUUGCGCGAUCUCGGCUCAUUGCAACUGCUGCCUCUUGGGUUCAAGCGAUCCUCAGCCUCCUGAAUAGCUGGGACUACAGACAUGCACCACUACAUGUCACAUGCUGCAUAUGGGACUCAUUCUCAUCCCUCAGCUCCAGGCCUGGUGAAUCUAUAUCAUCUUUCACCUAGGCCUCAGUAAUUAGCCUGAGGAUGGUUGCAUGACCCAGUCCAGACUCACAGCUAAUCCCUGCGUUUUUGCUGGAGCUGCUCUCCAUGGACGGUUGAAUCAACAGGAUAUAAGUCUCGAACUACUGGGGGCUGUCUCAGUAUUUCCAGGUGGAGAAUGCAGCUAACACAGGGGAAAGCAGAGCAGAAAUAUGGAGUGAGCCAGAUGAUGCUUGAUGAUGUUCGAGUACCUGGAUCCAGCCAUGCCUGAAGUUGAAGCUUUUAGUCACAUGAAUCAGUAAGUUUCCUUUUUGUUUAUGCCAGCUUUGACUGAUUUUCUGUCACUAUCAACUAAAACUACCCUGGCUUAUACAUACGGUUUUCUGCUUUUUCUCACCAAGGGACAGGAAUUAUUUUUCUGUUUUUACUGAUAAGGAAAUGGAGGUUCAAUCCAUUUGUAAUCGGAUGCUUCAAGUCUCGCCAGAUUUAAGGCUUGGUGACCUCCCUUUUGUGUUGGGAAUGGCCCACACAGGAACUGUUCUUUGCUUCUGGCCCCUGCUUCAGUGCAGACGCACUCUAUCCUGUUUCACAACACAGUGUUGAACAUAAUAUCCACUGCAGAGUAGAUGCUAAAACAUUGCUAAAACAAAAUAAGGAAAGAAUACCCCUAUAAAAAGCUGUGUAAAGUGUAUAAUGAGGCGGUUCAUCAAAAAACACAAAUGACAUAUCUCUAAAAGAUGCCCAACUUCAGUAAUAAAUAAGAAAUACAAACUAAGUAUCAUCUUUCAUGAGUUUGUCAAAGAGCUAAAGGUUUCCUAAUAGCUGAGGGCAGGGAAAUAGGCUCUUUCUUGGGCUGUGGCAGUAGCAGGGGAAGGGGCACAGCAUCUUUGGAGGGCAGUGUAGCAAUGUCUGUAAAAUGUAAACAGUGUACAAGCCAUCUGCCCUCCAGUUUAGAAUCUAUUCUCCAAAGAAACUCCAACAAAUAUGCAGAGAUGCAAGUAAAAGGCUGUUCAGUAGAGUUAUUUUUAAUAGAAAAAAACCCCCCAAAACCUAAAGAAAAGAAAACAAAACUGGAAACAAAUGCCCACCAAAAUGGGUCUACAUGAAUCCCAGUACAUCCAAGUCAUGGAAAACAUUUUUGCUGCUAAAAAGAAUGAGGAAGUCCCAGAUGCAUGGGGGUGGAAAGGUGCCCAGGGUAAACUAUGUCGUUAGGGGAGAACAGGGUGUGUGAUGUGAUGCUAUUUAUGUUGAAAAUGAAAUCUUACCAAAGUUAAGAUGGAGAUAAGUUGGGAAGAAGAAUUAGGGAAUCAGGAGAGUUCUAUUUUCAAUAAAUUAAUCUUCUUUACAAUUUGAUUUUUUAAAAUGAUGAACAUGUGCACUUUGUGAUUUUGUUUAUUCAUUUCAAUAUCCAAUAAUGCACAAAAAUUCAAAAGGCACAAGGUGGAGAUGUACAAUUCUGCAAUUCUCUCAGCUAUCUGAUACAGAAUUAAUUUAUUCCCAGCAUGCAUUUAGUGUAUUUCAAAGGAGGAGGAGGAGAAAUGAGCGGGAAAGGGCGGAGGACACAGGCAGCUGUUGCUCUGCGGUUGGCAGCUGUGGUCAGGUGUGGCAGUGGGCUGCCCUUUUUGGGGUCACUCUGUCCUUGGUUUCCUGGUGUCAGGCCUUCCUAACCCUUCUGAAGCUCAAGGGAAGGCCUUUGGUGAUGUGCUGCCCAUGGUUCCUGGCUGUGGUUUUUUUCUAGGUUUGUUCCUAUGUCUCAGGGCUUCAGACAGUGAGGCGCCGGAAUCCCCCAGGACUGUCCCCCUUCCUGCCAGUUUCCAGCCAGGCCUGCCUGGCAGAUGCCCAAACACUCAUUAGGUUAGACAGGUCUAUAGGCAAAUAUUUAUCCCUUGCAGCUGCAGGCUGUGAGGAGGCAGCAGGUGCGGGGCAGAGUCCUGUUUACCUAGCGCUGAGCCAGGCGGGCGCUGCCUGUUUGCUGAGCUCCCUACCUGGCCUGGCUCAGAAGGUUGGGCGAGCUCUGCCCUCUUCCUCACUCCGUCCCUCCUCCCUCCGCUGUGCUGUUCCAGAGCACUAGUUCUUCCCACCUCUUUCCUGGGCUGACUGCUGCUAAUUCCAUGUCUCAGCUUCAAUGCUCCCUCCUCAGGGCUCCCUGAUGACCCUCACUCCAGAGCAGUCAGGCACCCUGUGAGCAUUGCCGCGGCCCACAGUUCCCCAUCAUGAUAAUUACUUAUUUCCUGCACUUACCAGGUUAGUGUUUGUCUUCUGUGCUAGAAGCCAGAUGAGCAGAGAUGGGGAUAGUUUUGCUCACCACUGUUUCCCCAGCCCCUCCCAUAGGGCCUGGCACUCAGGAGGUGCUCCCCAAGUAUUUGAGUGUCAGCCUGAGUGAAGGCAGGCAGAGAGCCCUGCAUGGGCAAAGGCACAGAGGUGUGA